Long non-coding RNA from Felis catus (domestic cat), 596 nucleotides. RefSeq lists it as uncharacterized. NCBI's taxonomy places the organism in Eukaryota, Metazoa, Chordata, Mammalia, Carnivora, Felidae. The record is from RefSeq and is a predicted model, not a curated record. The transcript is spliced from 3 exons.
AAAAAAAAAAAAAAAAAAAAAAGAUUUCCUUGAAAACUGUAGCCCAGUAACAUUCUUGAGGUAAAUUCUUGAUGUUCUCAAGAAUUUCAUGGACACAGCAGCUUACCCAAGAAAGUAAACUGAAGGAGGAAAACCUCUACUUCUGUGCUGCUUAUGAUGUAUGCUUGAAGGAAACAUUUGAAAUAGAGUGACCAAUUAUUUUCAGUUGGAGAAGACUUUCCCAAUUUUAAAACUUCUAUGUCCCAGGAAAUCCUUCAGUUUCAGGAAAACCAGGACAGUUGAUCAUCCUACUUUGAAAAUUCCUUAAAAAAAUAAUAGGCUUAUUUUUCAUGGGCUUUGCAAUGAGCAUGUGCCAAAGAACUGAAGUCUCUGUGUCACCUCAAGGAAUGUACAUUUGUUCCACUAAGACUACUUUUUGCCUUAUGUGAGCAUAGGCAACUUCUGGGUAAGGGUCUAACCUCUGUAGUACUCAGCCAAUGAGGAAUCAAGGGGGACUUGCAAGCUAGGAGAUAAUCGCCUGCUACAACCACCUAGAAUGUCCAUCAGACACUCGCUCUUGCAAGAGUGUUGAUUAAAACCUCUUCACUGGGCUCCGA